GGUAGGCGGAAUGCGAAAACGUAACUGCAUGGUAAAGGUCAAAAUUAUUGCGGAGCCCUACACUACCCUGUGCCUCAUAAGUCAUAAUCCACUGUUUGCAGUUUAGGAAAGCUAACUCCACAAUUUAACAUUGGCCCUCAGGAACUGAGCUGCGUUCAUCUACAGUGGGUGAUUGCCCAUGGACAACAAGGCAGAAGUGAGACACUGUCACGCGCUGGAAGCAGCGACCACUGAAGAAGAAGAAGAAGAGCGUCAUCGUCCUAGUUGUUCGAGGCUCCCAUGUUGACCCGUUGUCGGACUCCUCCACCGUCCCCGGACCAUGGCCGAGCACCGGAACCUGAACGUGUGGCGCGCCACGCACGUGCUCGUCUACGUCUGCUCCAUCGGGACGUCGCUGGGCGCGCUCCUGAGCUACCGCAACAUGAACUCGAGCCUGGAGACCACGAUGGGCAAGUGCAUGCUCUACACGCAGCCCUGGGUCGAGCUGAACGUCAAGACGGGCAACUGCCGCAUCGACCUGGCGCGCACCGAGUGGGGCGGCGACGUGCUCUGCAACUUCGUGCUGUUCUCCAUGCUCGCCUCGUUCGUGUACGGCAUCAUCUCCGUCUGGUUCUUCAUCAUGUGCGCGCCCAGCCGACACAUGCCCGAGGACGACAGUAUCGUGCACGUGUGGAAGAUAGUGCCACCGGCCACGGCCCUGAGCACGGUGCUCACGCUGCUCACACUCAUCAUGGCCUGGCUGGUGACCAGUGGCGUGAACACCUUCUUCUACGAGCUCGAGCUACGCGUCCUGAGGAAUUGCACCACCCGUGCCGGCGGACCUGCAGCCUGGGAAAACGACAGCGUGGCGACUCUCUACAACGAGAGGCUCACCACACAGAUCUUCGCGUGGCUCAUCGUGCUGUGCUGGGUGAUGGCGACCUGUCGCUCGUCUGCCGCUGCAUGACGGCUGCAGACUUCGGCACUAACGGAGAGCUGCAGGCCUCCCGGCAUCCUGGUGGCGAAGUGGUCACCUACCUGGGCGGCCUCGUGUCCUCGCUCUACCGCGCCGGCAGGGAGCCUGCGGUCACCGUGGCUCAGCUGCCAGUUAGGCCGCGCCCCCCGCAGGAGCGGCGAGACGCGGUGUGA
Molecule: RNA transcript, 1128 nt
Organism: Dermacentor silvarum
Lineage: Eukaryota; Metazoa; Arthropoda; Arachnida; Ixodida; Ixodidae
Exons: 5
Source: RefSeq, a predicted model, not a curated record